Long non-coding RNA from Bos taurus (domestic cattle), 462 nucleotides. The record is from Ensembl. Lineage: Eukaryota; Metazoa; Chordata; Mammalia; Artiodactyla; Bovidae.
AAAUGAUAGAGGUCAAAAACACAAUGCAAACGAGCGGGACCCAAACUGACCUCAGAGAUGACCCCUCUCCUGUUGAGAAACCUGCCAAGAAUGAACAGAAUCCCAUCACCGCAGAGACUGCUGAAAAACUGGCCUGUGUGGCCUGAAGUUUGCUAAGUAUGUGGCGUGUUCUGUACUCACACAGAAAGGCAUAAAGAAUGUAUUUAACGAAACAAUUUUGGCUGCCCUGGAGACGCCAGAACCGAAGAACAGCCACAGGUGUGUGCUGCUAUCAACAACUCUCCAGGAGUGUUUCUGCAUAGCUGGUGUCCGCAUGAUCCUACAAGCAAUGUUUCAAUCAAACUAAGGGUUACAAAUUAAAAUUUGUUUGUGCAAUAAUAACAAAACUGCACCUACUUGCGUGUACUUACGUGAGACAAGGCCCAUAGAUGUGGCCUCCUUCCCUCUCUCAAUGCCAGUGAA